Molecule: long non-coding RNA, 223 nt
Filed under: Jatropha curcas
Lineage: Eukaryota; Viridiplantae; Streptophyta; Magnoliopsida; Malpighiales; Euphorbiaceae
Description: long non-coding RNA (JCUR_LNC002217)
Source: RNAcentral
UUUGAAUUUUUUUAUAUAGCUUUUUAUUUUAUUUUAUCGUUAUUUAAUUUACUUUUAUGUAUAUCACCCGUAAAGCAACCGUUCGAGGUAAGUGCUAGAUCUUUGGACACUUAAACUCCCUGAGCGGCAAAACGAAGAUGAAGAAAGUGAUGGUUUAUCAAAAUCCGCCAAUUUCGCCUUUUGAUUAUUUGUACAUAUAUAAAAAUAAAUGAAAACAACAAAG